GCCGGGGUAGCUCAGUUGGUUAGAGCAUAGCACUCAUAAAGCUAAGGUCGUGGGUUCGAUCCCCACCCCCGGCA
This 74-nucleotide transfer RNA is filed under the name Candidatus Yonathbacteria bacterium. RNAcentral describes it as "tRNA-Met". It matches the Rfam family "tRNA". From Rfam's summary of the family: Transfer RNA (tRNA) molecules are approximately 80 nucleotides in length. Their secondary structure includes four short double-helical elements and three loops (D, anti-codon, and T loops). Further hydrogen bonds mediate the characteristic L-shaped molecular structure. tRNAs have two regions of fundamental functional importance: the anti-codon, which is responsible for specific mRNA codon recognition, and the 3' end, to which the tRNAs corresponding amino acid is attached (by aminoacyl-tRNA synthetases). tRNAs cope with the degeneracy of the genetic code in two manners: having more than one tRNA (with a specific anti-codon) for a particular amino acid; and 'wobble' base-pairing, i.e. permitting non-standard base-pairing at the 3rd anti-codon position. Lineage: Bacteria; Candidatus Yonathiibacteriota. The record is from RNAcentral.